AGAAGCACAGCUGAAACGAAUGAGAUUAUGAAAACCGCCGCACACCGGUCCGAGUCAUGAUGCUGACGAAUCAGGAAUGAAGAAAGGCUGCGUCUUUUGUCCUAUGUCCUGUUGCUUGUCUUGACGCAGUUUGUGUGCGGCGGCCGCCCUUAGACUCCCAUUCGGAAGGUUCUUGGUUCGAAUCUCAGCCCAUAUAUCUCGUAUACUGAUUUUCGUAGUUUUAUUCAAACUUUCCAGGCAAAUGAGCGGUAGCCUCAUAGUGAAUGUAGCGCCCAGUAAUCUGAAGAUCGUUACGUCAUUGUUACAAAGUUACUAGAUCUUGUUCUUAACAUGAGAUGGGAUCCCCAGAAUUGCAUACCAAGCUCUCACUGAACACACAGGACAUUUCUUCUGUAAGGGUUCCAACUCGAGGGGUGACGUACCCUUGAAGAAGUUUUUACAAAUUACCACAUGAAGAGUAAGAUUUUCUGGGUUGUAACGCCGUGUAGUUGAGAGACGAACGUUUGAAAGAACAUAUCACGUCCAUCUUCAAGGUCGAAGAGUCAGCUACGCGAGGAAGAAGCUUACCGCUUGCUGCUGCUGGUUUCUUACUUGGCUUAACUUUUGCCGUGAAGAUGGAGGCGAUAAGUUCCUUCGAAGCGUUGACCUCUCUCCGAACUACACCGUGUUACAACGCAGAAGACCGCAUUCAUCAUUGCUACCGCCAUGAAAACCCAAAAAUCCAACAAAAAUUUCCACACGAUUUAAUACUCAGUAAGUGGCACCACUGAGCUAACUUGCUCGGUACCGUGUAGCUGAAUGUCCAUGCAAAACAGUCGCCUUCUGCAGUGUGAUUAUGUUCUAGAUAGACAGAUCACCAGCAGCGAUGCCAAUUUUGAACUGGACACAGCUUGAUGUUGCGUUGUCACCGAAGCCCUGUGAAAUUUCAGGUAGCAGAGCACCACAUACCUCGAUGGGUCGAUAAAUACCACAGAUGAUUCAGUUACAAUAGCCAGUCUUAUACCCUGAAGAUGGUGGCGACACAUUCCUCCGAAUCAGCUGUAAACAUGUACCAGAAGAGAACACCGGCGACUGAUAUUCAUGUGUUGUGACGAAUUAUAGAACGACUCAUUGCUGUGCAAAGCCAGCGAGAUAAGUAGAUAUACAACAGCCAUUACUAAGCAAUGGCUUCCCAAACAAGAGGGUUUCCAUGGCAACAAUUGGAUACAGCAACACACGUCCAUGCGGAGAUGUUAUAAGCAUGACAGUUAGUGAAGUGAU
Long non-coding RNA from Cryptotermes secundus, 1260 nucleotides. RefSeq lists it as uncharacterized. NCBI's taxonomy places the organism in Eukaryota, Metazoa, Arthropoda, Insecta, Blattodea, Kalotermitidae. The record is from RefSeq and is a predicted model, not a curated record. The transcript is spliced from 3 exons.